RNAcentral lists this ribosomal RNA (432 nucleotides) under uncultured bacterium. Its description in RNAcentral is "bacterial SSU rRNA". It matches the Rfam family "Bacterial small subunit ribosomal RNA", at positions 96 to 524 of the family's 1533-position model. The record is from RNAcentral.
UGGCGGACGGGUGAGUAACGCGUAGGAAUCUGCCUGACAGCGGGGGACAACCUGGAGAAAUCCAGGCUAAUACCGCAUACGCCCUACGGGGGAAAGAUGGGGAUCUUCGGACCUGUCACUGUCAGAUGAGCCUGCGUUAGAUUAGCUUGUUGGUAGGGUAAUGGCCUACCAAGGCGACGAUCUAUAGCUGGUCUGAGAGGAUGAUCAGCCACACUGGGACUGAGACACGGCCCAGACUCCUACGAGAGGCAGCAGUGGGGAAUAUUGGACAAUGGGGGCAACCCUGAUCCAGCAAUGCCGCGUGUGUGAAGAAGGCCUUAGGGUUGUAAAGCACUUUCAAUUGGGAAGAAAAGCUCUGGGUGAAUACCCCGGAGUCUUGACGGUCCCAAUACAAGAAGCACCGGCUAACUCCGUGCCAGCAGCCGCGGUAAU